UAAUUUGGUAACUAUCAAAAUUAAAAUGGAACAAUACAGAGAAGAUUAGCAUGGUCCCUGUACAAGCAUGACAUGCAAAUUAGUGAAGUGUUUCAUAGUUUU
Molecule: small nuclear RNA, 102 nt
Organism: Cynocephalus volans (Philippine flying lemur)
Lineage: Eukaryota; Metazoa; Chordata; Mammalia; Dermoptera; Cynocephalidae
Source: RefSeq, a predicted model, not a curated record